This 669-nucleotide ribosomal RNA is filed under the name uncultured Rickettsia sp. RNAcentral's name for it is "bacterial SSU rRNA". It matches the Rfam family "Bacterial small subunit ribosomal RNA", at positions 794 to 1463 of the family's 1533-position model. The record is from RNAcentral. Lineage: Bacteria; Pseudomonadati; Pseudomonadota; Alphaproteobacteria; Rickettsiales; Rickettsiaceae.
UCCACGCCGUAAACGAUGAGUGCUAGAUAUCGGGAGAUUUUCUUUCGGUUUCGCAGCUAACGCAUUAAGCACUCCGCCUGGGGAGUACGGUCGCAAGAUUAAAACUCAAAGGAAUUGACGGGGGCUCGCACAAGCGGUGGAGCAUGCGGUUUAAUUCGAUGUUACGCGAAAAACCUUACCAACCCUUGACAUGGUGGUCGCGGAUUGCAGAGAUGCUCUCCUUCAGUUCGGCUGGACCACACACAGGUGUUGCAUGGCUGUCGUCAGCUCGUGUCGUGAGAUGUUGGGUUAAGUCCCGCAACGAGCGCAACCCUCAUCCUUAUUUGCCAGUGGGUAAUGCCAGGAACUAUAAGGAAACUGCCGGUGAUAAGCCGGAGGAAGGUGGGGACGACGUCAAGUCAUCAUGGCCCUUACGGGUUGGGCUACACGCGUGCUACAAUGGUGUUUACAGAGGGAAGCAAUACGGCGACGUGGAGCAAAUCCCUAAAAGACAUCUCAGUUCGGAUUGUUCUCUGCAACUCGAGAGCAUGAAGUUGGAAUCGCUAGUAAUCGCGGAUCAGCAUGCCGCGGUGAAUACGUUCUCGGGCCUUGUACACACUGCCCGUCACGCCAUGGGAGUUGGUUUUACCUGAAGGUGGUGAGCUAACGCAAGAGGCAGCCAACCACGGU